This 460-nucleotide ribosomal RNA is filed under the name uncultured bacterium. Its description in RNAcentral is "partial 16S ribosomal RNA". It matches the Rfam family "Bacterial small subunit ribosomal RNA", at positions 338 to 795 of the family's 1533-position model. The record is from RNAcentral.
CCUACGGGAGGCAGCAGUGAGGAAUAUUGGUCAAUGGACGAGAGCCUGAACCAGCCAAGUAGCGUGAAGGAUGACUGCCCUAUGGGUUGUAAACUUCUUUUAUAUGGGAAUAAAAUGUUCCACGUGUGGGAUUUUGUAUGUACCAUAUGAAUAAGGAUCGGCUAACUCCGUGCCAGCAGCCGCGGUAAUACGGAGGAUCCGAGCGUUAUCCGGAUUUAUUGGGUGUAAAGGGAGCGUAGGUGGAUUGUUAAGUCAGUUGUGAAAGUUUGCGGCUCAACCGUAAAAUUGCAGUUGAAACUGGCAGUCUUGAGUACAGUAGAGGUGGGCGGAAUUCGUGGUGUAGCGGUGAAAUGCUUAGAUAUCACGAAGAACUCUGAUUGCGAAGGCAGCUCACUGGACUGCAACUGACACUGAGGCUCGAAAGUGUGGGUAUCAAACAGGAUUAGAUACCCUUGUAGUC